CUUUUUCACUCUGAAAGAGCUAGAAUUCUAACCUUGUGUCAGGACCUACGGGCCAGGGAACAGUCUCAGGUAGACAGUUUCUAUGGGGCGUAGGCCUCCCCAAAGGUAACGGAGGCGUGCAAAGGUUUCCUCGGGCCAGACGGAGAUUGGCCCUCGAGUGCAAACGUAGAAGGGAGCUUGACUGGUGGCGGAGGCAAGGGUGUCGGUGGGAGAGAGGAGGGAGAAGAGAGUUGGGGUGAGGUUGUGGGAAUGGCGAUGGAAAAG
This is a ribosomal RNA of Vigna angularis (adzuki bean), 264 nucleotides long. It matches the Rfam family "Bacterial large subunit ribosomal RNA", at positions 2101 to 2460 of the family's 2925-position model. The record is from Rfam. NCBI's taxonomy places the organism in Eukaryota, Viridiplantae, Streptophyta, Magnoliopsida, Fabales, Fabaceae.